RNA transcript from Drosophila miranda, 1206 nucleotides. It is a transcript of the gene named N-alpha-acetyltransferase 20, with no coding region annotated. The record is from RefSeq and is a predicted model, not a curated record. NCBI's taxonomy places the organism in Eukaryota, Metazoa, Arthropoda, Insecta, Diptera, Drosophilidae. The transcript has 6 exons.
CAUCUCUACCAGAUGUUUGACUGAACUUAGUAAAUUUUCGUCCGGUUAGCUGCUCUGCCGAUGUAUUGAAAUCUCAAUUAGUGAGAAUGACUACGCUGAGACCCUUCACUUGUGACGAUCUUUUCAAAUUCAACAAUGUGAAUUUUGACCCACUUACGGAAACCUACGGACUCUCCUUCUAUACUCAGUACCUGGCGAAGUGGCCGGAGUACUUUCAGCUGGCCGAAUCCCCUAGUGGUCAAAUAAUGGGCUACAUUAUGGGCAAAGUAGAGGGACACCUGGACAACUGGCACGGACAUGUGACGGCUCUAACUGUGUCGCCCGACUACAGACGGCUCGGUUUAGCUGCCCUACUGAUGAACUUCUUGGAAGACAUAUCGGAGAAGAAGCGGGCGUACUUUGUGGAUCUGUUUGUGCGCAAGAGCAACCAGGUGGCCAUUAACAUGUACAAGAACCUAGGCUACAUCAUCUACCGCACCAUACUCGAAUACUACUCGGGCGAUCAGGACGAGGAUGCGUAUGAUAUGAGAAAGGCCCUAUCGAGGGAUGUCAACAAGAAAUCGGUGAUACCGUACACGCAACCUGUACGAUUGGAAGAUAUAGAUAUGAAUUGAUAUGAACCCACUAGUGCCCGCAUUCGCAUUUAUGUCUAACUGGUCGAGAUUCAUAAUUUCAAAAGGGCACGCGUACAUUAAAACGCUAUCCGUUGAUUAGUAUUUAGAUACAAUUCGUAAAUAAUCUAAAACUGUUAGCUUUUUCCGGUGGUAACAAGAAAAUCUAUCCCAUUGACUGCCUGCCUAUGCCUAUGUACAAUGAGAUCCACCAAAAAAAAAAAACCCAAAUUACUCUUCAUUAAUACCUCUAGUCUAUCUAAGGCCUUGACGUUUCUAUAAUUUUAUUGAAUUUGAAAUUAUUUAAAGAUUUCUUAAGCCGCAUCGGUAAAUAACCAUGUUUGAAUAGAAUGUUCAACACGUCUGAAGAUCACAAUGCGCGAGCUGCGCCACCAAACCAAUCACUAGCUCUAGCAGCAAUACACCUUAGUUCACUCAUUCAAAUACAUAAACGUAUCGUAUAUUUGUAGAAAACAAAUUCCCAUUACGGUGUUUUUCGACGAUUUCUGAAUUGUGAAAGACUAUGUUUUGCCCAAAAUUGUAACACAUAAGUACAUAUGUAUUUAGUUUUUAAAAAUUAAACAUGUUCAACAGC